This 77-nucleotide transfer RNA is filed under the name Gammaproteobacteria bacterium. RNAcentral describes it as "tRNA-Arg". It matches the Rfam family "tRNA". From Rfam's summary of the family: Transfer RNA (tRNA) molecules are approximately 80 nucleotides in length. Their secondary structure includes four short double-helical elements and three loops (D, anti-codon, and T loops). The record is from RNAcentral. Lineage: Bacteria; Pseudomonadati; Pseudomonadota; Gammaproteobacteria.
GCGCCCGUAGCUCAGCUGGAUAGAGUACCUGGCUUCGAACCAGGUGGUCGGGAGUUCGAAUCUCUCCGGCCGCGCCA